CUCCUACGGGAGGCAGCAGUGGGGAAUUUUGGACAAUGGGCGCAAGCCUGAUCCAGCCAUGCCGCGUGAGUGAAGAAGGCCUUCGGGUUGUAAAGCUCUUUCAGUUGGGAAGAAACGAUUACAACUAAUAAUUGUAAUUAAUGACGGUACCGACAGAAGAAGCACCGGGUAACUACGUGCCAGCGCCGCGGUAAU
RNAcentral lists this ribosomal RNA (195 nucleotides) under uncultured Nitrosomonas sp. RNAcentral describes it as "partial 16S ribosomal RNA". It matches the Rfam family "Bacterial small subunit ribosomal RNA", at positions 336 to 524 of the family's 1533-position model. The record is from RNAcentral. Lineage: Bacteria; Pseudomonadati; Pseudomonadota; Betaproteobacteria; Nitrosomonadales; Nitrosomonadaceae.